UACGUAGGUGGCAAGCGUUAUCCGGAAUUAUUGGGCGUAAAGCGCGCGCAGGUGGUUUCUUAAGUCUGAUGUGAAAGCCCACGGCUCAACCGUGGAGGGUCAUUGGAAACUGGGAGACUUGAGUGCAGAAGAGGAAAGUGGAAUUCCAUGUGUAGCGGUGAAAUGCGUAGAGAUAUGGAGGAACACCAGUGGCGAAAGGCGACUUUCUGGUCUGUAACUGACACUGAGGCGCGAAAAGCGUGGGGGAGCAAACAGG
This 256-nucleotide ribosomal RNA is filed under the name uncultured bacterium. RNAcentral describes it as "partial 16S ribosomal RNA". It matches the Rfam family "Bacterial small subunit ribosomal RNA", at positions 524 to 776 of the family's 1533-position model. The record is from RNAcentral.